This 68-nucleotide transfer RNA is filed under the name Penicillium occitanis (nom. inval.). RNAcentral describes it as "Penicillium occitanis tRNA". It matches the Rfam family "tRNA". Rfam says of the family: Transfer RNA (tRNA) molecules are approximately 80 nucleotides in length. Their secondary structure includes four short double-helical elements and three loops (D, anti-codon, and T loops). Lineage: Eukaryota; Fungi; Ascomycota; Eurotiomycetes; Eurotiales; Aspergillaceae. The record is from Rfam by way of RNAcentral.
CCUCCUAUGGCUCAGUGGUAGAGCGUGUCAUUAGUAAUGACAAGGUCCUCGGUUCCCGAGUAAGGGCA